This 72-nucleotide transfer RNA is filed under the name Gonapodya prolifera JEL478. Its description in RNAcentral is "tRNA-Gln". It matches the Rfam family "tRNA". From Rfam's summary of the family: Transfer RNA (tRNA) molecules are approximately 80 nucleotides in length. The record is from RNAcentral. Lineage: Eukaryota; Fungi; Monoblepharomycota; Monoblepharidomycetes; Monoblepharidales; Gonapodyaceae.
CCAUCCAUGGUGCAGUGGUCAGCACUUAAGACUUUGAAUCUUGCAACCUGAGUUCGAAUCUCAGUGGAUCCU